ACCUCGGAUCAGGUAGGAAUACCCGCUGAACUUAAGCAUAUCAAUAAGCGGAGGAAAAGAAACCAACAGGGAUUGCCCUAGUAACGGCGAGUGAAGCGGCAACAGCUCAAAUUUGAAAUCUGGCCCUCGGGUCCGAAUUGUAAUUUGUAGAGGAUGCUUUUGGUGAGGUACCUUCCGAGUUCCCUGGAACGGGACGCCAUAGAGGGUGAGAGCCCCGUCUGGUUGGAUACCGAUCCUCUGUAAAGCUCCUUCGACGAGUCGAGUAGUUUGGGAAUGCUGCUCUAAAUGGGAGGUAUAUGUCUUCUAAAGCUAAAUAUUGGCCAGAGACCGAUAGCGCACAAGUAGAGUGAUCGAAAGAUGAAAAGCACUUUGAAAAGAGAGUUAAAAAGUACGUGAAAUUGUUGAAAGGGAAGCGCUCAUGACCAGACUUGGGCUUGGUUGAUCAUCCAGGGUUCUCCCUGGUGCACUCUUCCAGCCCAGGCCAGCAUCAGUUCGCUGUGGGGGAUAAAGGCUUUGGGAAUGUGGCUCCUCCGGGAGUGUUAUAGCCCAUUGUGUAAUACCCUGUGGUGGACUGAG
RNAcentral lists this ribosomal RNA (576 nucleotides) under Neonectria sp. C_BESC_184aa. RNAcentral describes it as "eukaryotic LSU rRNA". It matches the Rfam family "Eukaryotic large subunit ribosomal RNA", at positions 1 to 590 of the family's 3401-position model. The record is from RNAcentral. Lineage: Eukaryota; Fungi; Ascomycota; Sordariomycetes; Hypocreales; Nectriaceae.